AUUGAACGCUGGCGGCAGGCCUAACACAUGCAAGUCGAACGGUAACAGGAAGCAGCUUGCUGCUUUGCUGACGAGUGGCGGACGGGUGAGUAAUGUCUGGGAAACUGCCUGAUGGAGGGGGAUAACUACUGGAAACGGUAGCUAAUACCGCAUAACGUCGCAAGACCAAAGAGGGGGACCUUCGGGCCUCUUGCCAUCGGAUGUGCCCAGAUGGGAUUAGCUAGUAGGUGGGGUAACGGCUCACCUAGGCGACGAUCCCUAGCUGGUCUGAGAGGAUGACCAGCCACACUGGAACUGAGACACGGUCCAGACUCCUACGGGAGGCAGCAGUGGGGAAUAUUGCACAAUGGGCGCAAGCCUGAUGCAGCCAUGCCGCGUGUAUGAAGAAGGCCCUCGGGUUGUAAAGUACUUUCAGCGGGGAGGAAGGGAGUAAAGUUAAUACCUGUGCUCAUUGACGUUACCCGCAGAAGAAGCACCGGCUAACUCCGU
RNAcentral lists this ribosomal RNA (489 nucleotides) under uncultured bacterium. RNAcentral describes it as "partial 16S ribosomal RNA". It matches the Rfam family "Bacterial small subunit ribosomal RNA", at positions 30 to 506 of the family's 1533-position model. The record is from RNAcentral.